GAUGAAGAACGCAGCGAAAUGCGAAAAGUAAUGUGAAUUGCAGAAUCCAGUGAAUCAUCGAAUCGUUGAACGCACAUUGCGCCCGCCAGCAUUCUGGCGGGCAUGCCUGUUCGAGCGUCAUUUCAACCCUCGACCUCCCCUUGGGGAGGUCGGCGUUGGGGACCGGCAGCCCACCGCCGGCCCUGAAAUGGAGUGGCGGCCCGUCUGCGGCGACCUCUGCGUAGUAAUACAGCUCGCACCGGAACCCCGACGCGGCCACGCCGUAAAACACCCAACUUCUGAACGUUGACCUCGAAUCAGGUAGGACUACCCGCUGAACUUAAGCAUAUCAAUAAGCGGAGGA
This 343-nucleotide unclassified non-coding RNA is filed under the name soil metagenome. Its description in RNAcentral is "partial contains 5.8S ribosomal RNA, internal transcribed spacer 2, and large subunit ribosomal RNA". The stretch from base 1 to 120 matches the Rfam family "5.8S ribosomal RNA", at positions 35 to 154 of the family's 154-position model. The record is from RNAcentral.